Molecule: long non-coding RNA, 2121 nt
Organism: Tribolium castaneum (red flour beetle)
Lineage: Eukaryota; Metazoa; Arthropoda; Insecta; Coleoptera; Tenebrionidae
Exons: 3
Source: RefSeq, a predicted model, not a curated record
CCACAAAGUAAAAUACCGCUUCACAAUGUGUAGGAGGUAGGUACAUACUUCACUUUGGCUUCACUCAAUCAAUCGGUCUUCGUUCGUUCGUAUGUGUUUUGCAAUUUUAUCAGCACAUUUAGGAGAUUCUUUGCAGAUUUCUUUUGAAAUGAGUGAUCCAGAAACUGUUUCCGAAUCCGAGGUAAAAACCGAUGCUUCGACUUCGACUCCGAAAAAGAAGAAACAAAAAAGAAUGUGUUAUUUUCUCGAUGUUUGGAUGAAAAGUUACUCGUUCAUCAAAUCCGUUCCAAAUAAUAAGUUAAGAGCACUUUGCACAUUGUGCCAAAAACAGUUUAGCAUAUCUCAUGGUGGCAAGAAUGAUAUAGAAAAACAUCAAAAAUGUAAUGAACACCAAAAAAGAGAAAAAAGUGCUAGUCUAUCUACAUCGCUGAAAAUAUUUUUAAAAACUGAACAAAUGAGCACUCAAGAAGAAAAAGUGAUAGCUGCUGAAGUCACAAAGACGUACCAUUCGGUCAAGCAUAGCUUAUCAUUCAAUUCACUUGAAUGUGAUACAAAACUCGAUCAUACUUUGUAUGGUGAUUCAAAAAUUGCUGAAAAACUGACACUUGGACGAACUAAGGCCAGUGCCAUUGCACAUAACGUUUUAGGUCCAGCAUCGACUCAAGAGGCUGUCGAAACUUUGCAAAAUGAUACAUUUUAUAGUGUUGCUACUGACGCCUCCAAUCACGGUGCCACAAAAAUGUUUCCGCUGAUGGUGAGGUUUUACAGCCCAAAUACAAAUUUAAAAACGUGUGUGCUUGACUUUUAUGAAGACGCAAAUGAAACUGCAUCAGCCAUUCAUAAGAAUUUAGUAACACGACUGAGAGAGCACAAUAUUGACACUAAACAUCUUACCAGUUACUGUGCAGAUAAUGCAAAUGUGAACUUUGGGUGUCGUAAUUCAGUUUUUCAGUUAUUGCAUCACGAUAAUGACAACAUUUUAUCAGUCGGUUGUCCUGCACACAUCUUGCACAACAGUGUAAAGUAUAGCCUGGGUAAGAGUAAGUUUGAUUUAGAAACCAUAACCAUUUUUCAUACUAUGCAAAACGGGUUGCCGCGUUAAAAGAUUUCUAUGAGAUGCGCGAAGCUGAAUUUGCUCCUGUCUUGCGGCAUGUUAAAACAAGAUGGUUGUCACUUCUUCCUGCUGUGGAACGUGCUACCAAAUCUUUCCAUAUACUGAAAGAUUAUUUUAUAUCAUUGGAAGAAGACGAAUGUCCAACUGCGCUGUGGCAAUUCUUUAAUUCUGACAAAACAGAACCUUAUCUGGCAUUUUACCAAAAUGCACUGAAAGUCUUACAGGAUGCAGUAUUACGUCUUGAAAACGAAACAUUGCUGUGCUUCGAAGGUCACGAAAUAAUGGUUGAACUGAGUAAAAAAUUGAGGCAGCGGAUCGAAGAUGAAUUUGUAGGAUUCACGUGCAGCAACUUAUUUAAAAAGUUGCCUGCUGAUGAAGUUUCCAAAAUAAAAAACGAGUGUUGACGACUCAUUCUCUUACGCGUCAAUGGUCAAAAUUAUUGAAAACUUCAAAAUUGAUUCGUUCUUCGACAUGGAUCAACUUUACGAAGAAGUGUGUAAAGUCAAAGAAGUAGUGAAAGCAGCAGUGCAAAACAAAGACUUGACGGCGUUACAAAAGUGGCACAACAUUUUUAAAGACAAUCAAGACUUUGCAAAUCUUCAAAAGUUAUUUUCUUUUAUGGCUUCAAUACCGGUAUCAAACGCGGCAACGGAAAGGGUAUUUUCCCAGGCUAAUAUAAUUUGGUCUGAGACGCGAAACCGUUUAACACUCGAGCAUGUCAAAGCCGAGAUUCAAAUUAAAACCAACUUUAAUAUGGCUUGUAGUGAAUUCUAUAACUACGUUAUAAAAAACAAGGCGAUGUUAAAGGCAGCAAAAUCUAACGAAAAAUAUAAUUUUAAUAAAAAAUAAAUUAUUUAAAUUUCUAUUAAAGUCAAUAAUUAACUAAUACUUAGACUAAGAUUUUAUUGCAAUACUUACCUAGUUUUAAAUUUCUACUAGUCCAACAAGUCUGACUAUUAUUAUGCAGGAUUAAAUUCUGACAUAGGCCUACUUAAUGUUAGUUGCGA